Molecule: ribosomal RNA, 328 nt
Filed under: uncultured eukaryote
Lineage: Eukaryota
Description: partial 18S ribosomal RNA
Rfam family: Eukaryotic small subunit ribosomal RNA
Source: RNAcentral
CCCUUAGAUGUCCGGGGCUGCACGCACGCUACACUGAAGGAAUCAGCGUGCUAAAACCAUUGUCGAAAGGCAUUGGUAAACCCAUUAAAAUCCUACGUGAUUGGGAUCGGGAAUUGCAAUUAUUUCCCUUGAACGAGGAAUUCCCAGUAAGUGUGGGUCAUAAGCUCGCGUUGAUUACGUCCCUGCCCUUUGUACACACCGCCCGUCGCUGCCCGGGACUGAGCCGUUUCGAGAAAAGCGGGGACUGCUGCUGUCGGGGCUUUCGGGCCUUGGCUUCGGUGGAAACCGCUUUAAUCGCAGUGGCUUGAACCGGGCAAAAGUCGUAACA